Molecule: transfer RNA, 75 nt
Filed under: Hymenobacteraceae bacterium
Lineage: Bacteria; Pseudomonadati; Bacteroidota; Cytophagia; Cytophagales; Hymenobacteraceae
Also listed under: 2 other names
Description: tRNA-Val
Rfam family: tRNA
About the family: Transfer RNA (tRNA) molecules are approximately 80 nucleotides in length. Their secondary structure includes four short double-helical elements and three loops (D, anti-codon, and T loops).
Source: RNAcentral
GGGAUGUUAGCUCAGCUGGUUCAGAGCACCUGCCUUACAAGCAGGGGGUCACUGGUUCGAAUCCAGUACGUCCCA